GGUGUGUUUUAGUGGUGAAUCUUUGACAUUCCAAUCUCCAGGAACCCAAACUCGUAAUUCUGUUAUGUCUCUUACAUGGUUGAAGGCAUGUAUUAUGGUAUCUGGCUAAUGAAUGUCAAAGUAGAUGAAAGCCAACCAUCUACUUUUCCUAGGAAAGAAGGCGGUGCUUGUCGCAACUUAUUUGGGGGAUUUGUGAAGUGGAUAAUGGAAUUGAUAGUCUUGCAGUUCAACUUUAACUUGCUGAUGUUUAAUU
Molecule: long non-coding RNA, 253 nt
Organism: Vicia villosa (hairy vetch)
Lineage: Eukaryota; Viridiplantae; Streptophyta; Magnoliopsida; Fabales; Fabaceae
Exons: 3
Source: RefSeq, a predicted model, not a curated record